This 373-nucleotide ribosomal RNA is filed under the name uncultured organism. RNAcentral's name for it is "partial 16S ribosomal RNA". It matches the Rfam family "Bacterial small subunit ribosomal RNA", at positions 528 to 896 of the family's 1533-position model. The record is from RNAcentral.
GGGGGGGCAAGCGUUUAUUCGGAAUUAUUGGGCGUAAAGGGCGUGUAGGCGGCCAGAUAAGUCAAAGGUGAAAUCCCUCGGCUCAACCGGGGAACUGCCUUUGAAACUAUCCGGCUAGAGGCCGGGAGAGGGUAGCGGAAUUCCCAGUGUAGCGGUGAAAUGCGUAGAUAUUGGGAGGAACACCAGUGGCGAAGGCGGCUACCUGGACCGGUUCUGACGCUGAGGCGCGAAAGCGUGGGGAGCAAGCAGGAUUAGAUACCCUGGUAGUCCACGCUGUAAACGAUGGGCACUCGGUGCUGCGGGUAUCGACCCCCCUGCAGUGCCUUAGCUAACGCGUUAAGUGCCCCGCCUGGGGAGUACGGUCGCAAGGCUG